UACGGGGGGGGCAAGCGUUGUUCGGAAUUACUGGGCGUAAAGGGCUCGUAGGCGGCCAACUAAGUCAGACGUGAAAUCCCUCAGCUUAACUGGGGAACUGCGUCUGAUACUGGAUGGCUUGAGUUCGGGAGAGGGAUGCGGAAUUCCAGGUGUAGCGGUGAAAUGCGUAGAUAUCUGGAGGAACACCGGUGGCGAAGGCGGCAUCCUGGACCGACACUGACGCUGAGGAGCGAGAGCCAGGGGAGCAAACGGG
This 253-nucleotide ribosomal RNA is filed under the name uncultured bacterium. RNAcentral describes it as "partial 16S ribosomal RNA". It matches the Rfam family "Bacterial small subunit ribosomal RNA", at positions 524 to 776 of the family's 1533-position model. The record is from RNAcentral.